This is a small nucleolar RNA of Dioscorea cayenensis subsp. rotundata (Guinea yam), 107 nucleotides long. The record is from RefSeq and is a predicted model, not a curated record. Lineage: Eukaryota; Viridiplantae; Streptophyta; Magnoliopsida; Dioscoreales; Dioscoreaceae.
AAUCCAUGGUGAGGACAUUUUCGCAGAUGCUCCUUGAACCUGUCCCAUGUCUCAAAAAGUGACUCUAAUUCCGUUUGCACAAAAGAAGAUAUCUCAUUCCUAAUUUU